This 468-nucleotide ribosomal RNA is filed under the name uncultured bacterium. RNAcentral describes it as "partial 16S ribosomal RNA". It matches the Rfam family "Bacterial small subunit ribosomal RNA", at positions 28 to 507 of the family's 1533-position model. The record is from RNAcentral.
GACGAACGCUGGCGGCGUGCUUAACACAUGCAAGUCGAACGGAAAGGCCCUGCUUUUGUGGGGUGCUCGAGUGGCGAACGGGUGAGUAACACGUGAGUAACCUGCCCUUGACUUUGGGAUAACUUCAGGAAACUGGGGCUAAUACCGGAUAGGAGCUCCUGCUGCAUGGUGGGGGUUGGAAAGUUUCGGCGGUUGGGGAUGGACUCGCGGCUUAUCAGCUUGUUGGUGGGGUAGUGGCUUGCCAAGGCUUUGACGGGUAGCCGGCCUGAGAGGGUGACCGGCCACAUGGGGACUAAGGGAGGGCCCAGACUCCUACGGGAGGCAGCAGGGGGGAAUAUUGCACAGUGGGCGGAAGCCUGAUGCAGCGACGCCGCGUGCGGGAUGACGGCCUUCGGGUUGUAAACCGCUUUCGCCUGUGACGAAGCGUUAGUGACGGUAAUGGGUAAAGAAGCACCGGCUAACUACGUG